Molecule: long non-coding RNA, 439 nt
Filed under: Ananas comosus (pineapple)
Lineage: Eukaryota; Viridiplantae; Streptophyta; Magnoliopsida; Poales; Bromeliaceae
Description: long non-coding RNA (ACOM_LNC014993)
Source: RNAcentral
AUAUAUUUUAUCAAUUUGGUCAGUCUAAUUAAUUUAAUUUAUUAAAUUGAUUUUGAUCUUACUUUUAAAUUUUUUUAUUUUAGUUGAUUUUUUUUAAUUUUAGUUCCUUACAAAUUGAAUUUUUGAGGAAACAAAGAGAGAGAGAAAAAGGAAAGAAAGAGCGAAUAAAAAUUUUGAUAAUAUAGUAUAGGUAAAAUUACUAAAUUAUUUAUAUAUUAAAAGAUAAAAAUUUUCUUUUUUGAAAUAUCUGGUAAUUGGUACCUCAUCCAAAAUGACCUACUAUUGCAGGUCAUAAUUUUAAAAGAAUUAAAUCUGAGUCAUUAAAGAGGAGUAAUGAAAGGUAUCGAAAAAUAACAAGUAUAAAAGCACUGCUCUAAAAAUAAUUGGCAAAUUAAGGGUCAAAAUAUGACCCUUGGAUAAAAAGAUGUAAGUUUUUUUU